Molecule: long non-coding RNA, 250 nt
Filed under: Mytilus galloprovincialis (Mediterranean mussel)
Lineage: Eukaryota; Metazoa; Mollusca; Bivalvia; Mytilida; Mytilidae
Source: RNAcentral
GGUUUGAGGCACUUGUCGCAGAAAAAAAUCCUAUAUAUAGACUUAGGGGUCGACCAUUUGAUAUUCUGGGGGAGGGGGCAGGUGGAUUUGUUUUUGAUCGGUUAUUUAUUUUUGUAAUCUAAGAGGACAAAUUAUUCAUUUUCUGCACUAGUGAAGCAAGAUUUUUCAUUAAAGCAAGGGACUGAUUAUUCAUUUUCACAACUGUUUUUAUGAUAUUCGAAAAACAUACAAUUUUCAAAUGAUUUUUUUA